Molecule: small nucleolar RNA, 143 nt
Organism: Erinaceus europaeus (western European hedgehog)
Lineage: Eukaryota; Metazoa; Chordata; Mammalia; Eulipotyphla; Erinaceidae
Source: Ensembl
UUUGCAGUGUAAGAUACUUUCCUUAAAGUCCUUUACACAAACACCAUACAGCCAAAGAGUAAGUUGGGGUCAUAGUACUGGUUUCGUGUUGUCUCUCUUUGGACAUACUCACUAUCAGUCAGCCUCCAAAUCCCCACACACAG